Tigriopus californicus is the source of this 1070-nucleotide RNA transcript. RefSeq lists it as uncharacterized. The transcript is spliced from 7 exons. NCBI's taxonomy places the organism in Eukaryota, Metazoa, Arthropoda, Copepoda, Harpacticoida, Harpacticidae. The record is from RefSeq and is a predicted model, not a curated record.
AGUCCAAGGCCAGAAAAGGCUCCUUCUCACCAAGUUUGGCUUCAGUAAACGGAAGCAAGUCUUCGGCUGAGGAGAUUCCAAGAGGUUUUGUGCACUUUUGCCCAAAAAUGAAGGCUUUCACUGGAAUGGUCUCUGUCUUGUUGGCCUUGGCUCUUAGUCACCACCAUCAUGUUGGGGCCAACCCUGUGGGUGUGGAGGAAGAUCUGGUGCCGGUUCAAGCCGAGGACAUGCGGGAUCUCUAUGGAAGUGGGUACUAUCCCAUGGGCAAACGAGGCGGCGUCAGAGACAGCUUAAGAGACCUCCUCCAUGCUUUGGAGACCGAGGCUUCGUUGGAGGCCGCCGAAGAUGGGGAAGUCGAAGGCGAUGGCUCUCCCAUGAUGGUGGCACCCGGUCCCGUGACUGGACCCUCUGGCAACCUCCAUUCCGUGGAUAAAAGAAGACGUAAGAGCCGUUACGAGAAGCUGAAGCGUCGUCGAUAUGGAUUCUGGGUGACGGCCAUCAACAAAAUGGAUAACAACCACCUGAGUGGGUUCUUGGGCAAACAUAGAAAUAUCUAUAACGUAUUCAAGCGAUCACAGGGAAUGUGAAGCGGGGCCGACCGUUCAUCCCAGCAUUAGGCCAACCCAUGGCCGAUUAUCACAACAAAAAGUACUUCGGUUAAGUACCAUGGUGGUUGGAAAAGUCACAAGAAAUACCCCGUUCUGAACCAUACCAUUAUUAUCGUCGUCAAACUAAUAAUCCCUUGUCUUCCACUGAACCAAGUCUUCCAAACCAACGAUCAAUAAUGUCUUCUUCAAGUCAAAACCACUUCAAAUAACAAUACUAGUUCGUUCAAGUGUUAAAGAUGCCAAUCUCAGCUUUCAACAAUAACUGUGAAACGGGAACCAAUUCCAUAUGCGUGUAUGUUCUAUCAAAAACAACUAAAACAAAAACAACAAUAACAAACAACCAAUUCUUCUUACUCCUCUACUACCAAGUCAAUAACCAUUCUUACAUCUUCACAUUUCUUCAGAAUUGCUCAAAGCCGUUGAAUGAUAAUAAUAAACCUUUAUUGAGUCAACUAACCAAAA